GAUGAACGCUGGCGGCGUGCUUAACACAUGCAAGUCGAACGAUGAAGCCCAGCUUGCUGGGUGGAUUAGUGGCGAACGGGUGAGUAACACGUGAGUAACCUGCCCUUGACUCUGGGAUAAGCCUGGGAAACUGGGUCUAAUACUGGAUAUGACUUCUCAUCGCAUGGUGGGGGGUGGAAAGAUUUAUUGGUCUUGGAUGGACUCGCGGCCUAUCAGCUUGUUGGUGAGGUAAUGGCUCACCAAGGCGACGACGGGUAGCCGGCCUGAGAGGGUGACCGGCCACACUGAGACUGAGACACGGCCCAGACUCCUACGGGAGGCAGCAGCGGGGAAUAUUGCACAAUGGGCGCAAGCCUGAUGCAGCGACGCCGCGUGAGGGAUGACGGCCUUCGGGUUGUAAACCUCUUUCAGUAGGGAAGAAGCGAGAGUGACGGUACCUGCAGAAGAAGCGCCGGCUAACUACGUG
This 466-nucleotide ribosomal RNA is filed under the name uncultured bacterium. Its description in RNAcentral is "partial 16S ribosomal RNA". It matches the Rfam family "Bacterial small subunit ribosomal RNA", at positions 28 to 507 of the family's 1533-position model. The record is from RNAcentral.